CCUACGAGCGGCAGCAGUGGGGAAUAUUGGACAAUGGGCGAAAGCCUGAUCCAGCCAUGCCGCGUGUGUGAAGAAGGCCUUCGGGUUGUAAAGCACUUUCAGUGGGGAAGAAAGCCUUGGGGCUAAUACCCUCGAGGAAGGACAUCACCCACAGAAGAAGCACCGGCUAACUCCGUGCCAGCAGCCGCGGUAAUACGGAGGGUGCGAGCGUUAAUCGGAAUUACUGGGCGUAAAGCGCGCGUAGGCGGUCUGAUAAGCCGGUUGUGAAAGCCCCGGGCUCAACCUGGGAACGGCAUCCGGAACUGUCAGGCUAGAGUGCAGGAGAGGAAGGUAGAAUUCCCGGUGUAGCGGUGAAAUGCGUAGAGAUCGGGAGGAAUACCAGUGGCGAAGGCGGCCUUCUGGACUGACACUGACGCUGAGGUGCGAAAGCGUGGGUAGCAAACAGGAUUAGAUACCCGGGUAGUC
RNAcentral lists this ribosomal RNA (465 nucleotides) under Vreelandella stevensii. RNAcentral's name for it is "partial 16S ribosomal RNA". It matches the Rfam family "Bacterial small subunit ribosomal RNA", at positions 338 to 795 of the family's 1533-position model. The record is from RNAcentral. Lineage: Bacteria; Pseudomonadati; Pseudomonadota; Gammaproteobacteria; Oceanospirillales; Halomonadaceae.